AUACGUAGGGGGCGAGCGUUGUCCGGAAUUAUUGGGCGUAAAGGGCGCGUAGGCGGCCUGUUAAGUCUGGAGUGAAAGUCCUGUUUUCAAGAUGGGAAUUGCUUUGGAUACUGAUGGGCUUGAGUGCAGGAGAGGUUAUCGGAAUUCCGGGUGUAGCGGUGAAAUGCGUAGAGAUCGGGAGGAACACCAGUGGCGAAGGCGGGUAACUGGACUGCAACUGACGCUGAGGCGCGAAAGUGUGGGGAGCAAACAGGAUUAGAUACCCUGGUAGUCCACACUGUAAACGAUGAAUGCUAGGUGUAAGGGGUAUCGACCCCUUUUGUGCCGGAGUUAACACAAUAAGCAUUCCGCCUGGGGAGUACGGCCGCAAGGUUGAAACUCAAAUGAAUUGACGGGG
RNAcentral lists this ribosomal RNA (397 nucleotides) under uncultured bacterium. Its description in RNAcentral is "partial 16S ribosomal RNA". It matches the Rfam family "Bacterial small subunit ribosomal RNA", at positions 523 to 918 of the family's 1533-position model. The record is from RNAcentral.